This 376-nucleotide unclassified non-coding RNA is filed under the name uncultured Gammaproteobacteria bacterium. RNAcentral describes it as "contains 16S-23S intergenic spacer region". Lineage: Bacteria; Pseudomonadati; Pseudomonadota; Gammaproteobacteria. The record is from RNAcentral.
UCCGGUUUAUCACCGGCAGUCUCCUUAGAGUUCCCGACCGAAUCGCUGGUAACUAAGGACAAGGGUUGCGCUCGUUGCGGGACUUAACCCAACAUCUCACGACACGAGCUGACGACAGCCAUGCAGCACCUGUCUCACGGUUCCCGAAGGCACUCCUCUAUCUCUAGAAGAUUCCGUGGAUAUCAAGGGUAGGUAAGGUUCUUCGCGUUGCAUCGAAUUAAACCACAUGCUCCACCGCUUGUGCGGGCCCCCGUCAAUUUCUUUGAGUUUUAACCUUGCGGCCGUACUCCCCAGGCGGAGAGCUUAACGCGUUAGCUUCGAUACUAAGGAAGUUAAUCCCCAACAUCUAGCUCUCAUAGUUGACAGCGUGGACUAC